AGCAAUUCUCCCACUUCAGCCUCCAAAGUAGCUGGGACCACAGGAGGGCACUGUAUUGCCAGGUCCCUGGAUGUGGUGUGAAGACUGUUCUCUACAAAACUCUAGAAGGCACGAUUUUCAUCAGAUUCACAGCCAGCGUGGCCAUACGCAAUAGAGACGGUGUCUCCCGUCAGGGCAAAGACUUGGUGCUUUUGGUUGCAUAUACCUUAUAAAAGAUUUGGGUUUCCAAAGAUCAGAAUUCUUUGACUGUGAAACAAACUCACUGUGUGUCCAGCAUCCACCUGAGUUUUCUCUGCACCACUCCAAUGUGACUGAGGAGUCAAAGGAAACUGGUGUGAACAUGAAGCUCAUGCUACCUGCUGUGCCAUGAGUAGCAAAGUUCUUUGUGUCUGAUCCUGGAGUCCUGUGUCUUCUGCAGAAUCUGUGAAAUUGUAGCCAGCUAACCUGUUAGCUUGUAAGAUGAUAAAAUCUCAGAUCCUUCACAAUUCUCUAUGAUAUGGUGAUUUACUUCUUGACUACAGAGAUGAAAAAUAUAAGAAAUUGUGACUAACACUGAUAUUUUCUUCCAGGGUUCUUUAGAGGUAUCCUCCAACAGCAAUGGCAGUAAAUAUUCAAAUGAGAACAUAUUUGUGGAGAAGACAAAUAUUUUUGUACAUGUUUAAUUUGGGGUGCUGUUGAUGUAUCUUUGAAAAUAAUGUCAAUGAACUAUAUAUGUUCUGAAAAAUAUGAGGGGGAUCACAUCUAGAAGUAUGCAUUUGGUAAAAAAAUAUGCAUAGAAAUAAAAGAUAAAAUCACAAAAAUGUCUAAGGUUAUUAUUAAGUAGAACUUAGAGAGAAAUGAUGGCUAAGGACAGAAUUUUUAAAAAGAGGGCAUCAAUUGAAGCAUGAGCAGAUGUGGACAAUUUAAAGCGGAAAAUAUUAGGGAAACAGAGGCAGACCCCAGAGAGUACAGUGAUCUAGAGGUCAAGAGAGAAGAGCAUUUAACACGGAAAGAUAAGAUAUUCAGGUCAAAUAAGGUAUAAAGACAGAGGAGGACUUGGAUAGAAGAAAAAAUUGGCAAUGAUGUUCUCUCUUUUAUUGGGUGCUAUCCAUUCAGGGAUUAUGAGUGUUGCAGGCAGAUUGUCUUCAAGGUGUAUCUUGGUUGAAAUAAACAGCACCAAGGAUUAAAGCAACAGUAUAGAACUUCCCAGUACAGAUUAAGAGUAUAGUUUUAGUGAAUCCAGAAGGGUAAUAGUCUGAAUUCCAGACAGAUUGCAGGCACCUGAAAAAAAAAUAUCUGCAGGUUAGAGCUCCAAACAUAUUGUAUUCUUAGAUGAUACUACUAUUUCCACGAAGCCUUGCAGAAAAUAAGAUUCAAGUAAAAUAUUUGAUUAUUUCUACA
RNAcentral lists this long non-coding RNA (1380 nucleotides) under Homo sapiens (human). RNAcentral's name for it is "HSALNT0297109". The record is from RNAcentral. Lineage: Eukaryota; Metazoa; Chordata; Mammalia; Primates; Hominidae.